CAGACAUAUCCAGAUGUCCCUUAUGGGGAAGGGAGAAUCGCCCUGGCUUUGCAGACUCCAGCUGGAACCCCUGCUGCAAGCGAUGGAGGAGCAACAGCUCGGCAAUCUGGAGGCAAGGUGGGAGGUGGAGAAGCACGGAAACGAAGUCUCUGGCUCAACCAGCAAAAGUGAACCACUCCCCAGGUAGGUCACCAAGGAUGGUAGUCAUUGUUUCAGUGGGAUCUGAGUGAUCUAAUUAACUUCCAGGGGGUUUCUCAGACCUGUCAACAAACCGGCUUCUCAGGUGAGUUUUGCCAAAGGACGGAGCAGAGAUGCACAGAGGGGCUCUUGCCGGAUACUCAGGUUCAGGUUUAAGGAGCACAGGCACUUUUGAGGCGGCGAUAGAACCAGAGUCCCCAGUUCUCUUGGAGCCACCCUUUAGGGCCUGGCCCAGGCUCCUCUGAGCCCUGAAACCCCUCCCACUUGAGCCCCUCCUGUGUCCUUCAAACUGCAGCUUCCGAGGCCAUUGGAAGGUAGUGAAGGGGGCGUGGUGUUUGUUUCUCUGUGACUUCCUGGCUGUGGCUGCAGUGAGCAGUUGACUUGUGUCACACUCAUCCUCAGUCAUGAUUAGGCACACCCACACUGUCCCGCUGACCACACUCCAGAAAAAGAGCCUGCAAGGGUCCCUCUGUAAGUGGAAGCAGCCUCCAUCUCAUUGGCCCUUCUAGAGACCGCCCGGGUCCCCUUCUGCGAUGAUGCCACACAGACCCACUCCAUCCUCUCCCCACACCUUGCCCUCAGGUCGCCUAGCAACCUCAGGGCGGCCAGCCUGGCCAAUCACCUAAUCACCUGUGGCUGCCAGCAUCCACCUGCCUCCCCAGGCUGGAGGGAGCAGGAACUCAAGUGCUCCCCUGCCCCUGGCUUCACCUCCACCCUUCAAUCCCCCCCACUGCCCCAGACCUUACAGAGGCAGCACAGUGACCAGCAUUUCGCAUCUCACCCUUUGCUCCCUGCCCAAGGCCCACUCUGCGGCUUAAUCUGUGACAUUUAACAUAAAUGGUUUUCUAUUCCCAGCUGACCUUUAAUGGCUUUUAUCAUCAGCUGUGGUUCCUGGCAGCCGUACAAGAGCUGGUGUCGGCUGCCCGAAUCUAUUCCAACAGAAUACCCAAGGAGAGCCCACAGUUUUCGCCACGUGAAGCUGGGGGGGUGCGCCUGGAGAUGUCUGCCGAGACUUGAGCUUGCCACUCUCGGCCCGGAAAUAUCAUUAUGUGUUUCAAUUAGAAUUAGUGGGGAAGCCAGUUAUUAAGUGGUUAGUUAUUAUGGUAAUGGAGACACUCCACAGUAGCUGGUGCGGGCCACUCUUGCCUUCCUCUAACGGCCACUUUUUAAAUCCCUAAUCCCUCCCUGAUGCUCUGUUUCCAAGUGCAGUAGGAUGGAAAUGGGAGGGAAGAGACCAGAAAGAGGUGGGUUUUGCAUCCCCCUCUUCCGCUCCGUGCCCCUUCCCCCGCCAAGAUACCAUUCCCAGCAGGUGUGUGCUGUAGUGACAUUAGCAAACCCUCCGCCUGAAAUCCCAAGCUGUGUCUUCACACCCUCAGAAGCAGAAGUCAUUGUGAGGGAGCGCCCACUUCCACCAACCCCUCCGGGCGUCUUUCCUCCCACUCACAGAUGGUCACCGUGUCAUCAUGGAAAGGAUGUGAGAGGACCCCUGUGGAGGUUUGGGUUUUGGCAAAGACCCUGCAGAUACUGAAGGUGCAGAGAAGUGAAUGAGGACUCUCAGGCUGAAGGGCAGGAGAGUGGAGCUCUGGGCCCAUCCUGCGAAUAACCUUAGGCAAGUCACAUGUCUUCCAGGAGCUCCAGCCCCUCCCUGCAUACUGAAGGUUCCGACCAGCUCUCAACCCUUCCUCUGC
RNAcentral lists this long non-coding RNA (1886 nucleotides) under Homo sapiens (human). RNAcentral describes it as "HSALNT0245020". Lineage: Eukaryota; Metazoa; Chordata; Mammalia; Primates; Hominidae. The record is from RNAcentral.